CCAGAGCCCGACGCGGGGCUCGAACUCACGGACCGCGAGAUCGUGACCCGGCUGAAGUCGGACGCUUAACCGACUGCGCCACCCAAGCGCCCCGGUAAAACAUUUUUUUAAGAAGAUGUGUGGGGCAGCGCUUGGGUGUCUCAGUCAGUGGUUUUGGCUCAGGUCAUGAUCUCACAGUUCUUGGGAUCCAGCCCUGAGUCAGGCUCCACCCUGAGCUUGGAACCUGCUUGAGAUUCAUUUUCUCUCUCUCUCUCUCUCUCUCUCUCUCUCUCUCUCUCUCUCUCUCUCUCUCUCUGCCCCUCCCUUGCUUAUGCUUUCUCUUGCUCUCUAAAAUAAAAAAAGAUGGGCAACUUAAGUGAAAUAUACCUACAGAAAAGAGCAAGGAAUAUACAUUAAAAUAAAUCUAAAGCAACCAUUCAUGAAACCACGACCCAGGUAAGAAGUAGCAUAUUAGCCAGCACCUAAAAACCUUACUCCGUAUAUCUCUCCAUGGUCAUAAUUCUUCGUCCUCCAGAAGUAUUUUAUACUCAUUUUUGAGAUAAUUAUUUCUUUAUAAUUUUGCCUCCUUGUUCCUACAUUUGUAUCCCAAAUUGCAUAGUUUAUUUUGUGUCUAUUUUUGAACUUGAAUAAGUGGAACCACCAUUUGUAUUUUUCUGCUUAAUUCUUGUUUUUAGGAGAUUAUUCUCCUUCAUUGUUUUAUUAAUACAAUGCCGUUCUACAGCUAUCCCACAGUUUAUCCAGUCUGCCAAAGGUGGACUUAGCCGGUUCCCAUUCAGGGCUGACAUGAAUGGCGGUGCUGCUCUUACCAUUCUAGUGCACCUGCAUUUGUUUCUCCAGGGUGUAGAUGCCAGAGUGAAACUGUGGAUGUUUUUCCGCAUUGUCUCCAAUGCUUUGGUAUCACAAGGAACUUAAUUUUUGCCAAUCUGGUGGGUGUGAAAUGGUAUCCGAUUGUGGCUUUUGAUUUGCAUUUCCCUGAAUACUAAUAAGGUUGAGUGCCUUUUCAUUUAUUUAUUAGCCAUUGAGGGAGAGUACAGGAAGGAGAGGCAGAGACACAGAAUCUGAAUCAGGCUCCAGGCUGUGAGCUGUCAGCACAGAGCCCGAUGGCUGGGCUCGAACCCCUGUGAACCGCGAGAUCAUGACCUGAGCUGAAGUCAGACGCUUAACUGACUGAGCCACCCAGGCGCCCCUAGAUUUCUACUUUUGUUAAAUGCCUGUUCCAAGUCUUUCACUCAUUUGUCUAUUAGGUUGUCUGUUUCUUAUUUGCUUGGGCGUUCUAUGAGUUUUUAUAUGCAUGUAUAUGUUUGUAUUCUAGAUACUAUUUGUCAUUUAUGUGUGUUGCAAAUACCUCAUUCUGUGACUUCUUUAUGAUCUGUUUUAAUGAUUAGAAUUCUUAAUGUAGUUAAAUAUGUCUUUCCUCUUAGGCUUAGAGGAAAUCCUAUCUUUCUGUGUCUUAUUUGUAAAUAAGACUACUCUAUCUCAAGGUCAUGAGAUUCUCUAUGAUCUUCUAGGAGUUUCUAAAGCUUUGCCUUUCAUAUUUAUUCACCUGGACACCUGGACCUUCUUUUUAGGGUGAUCUAGAGAGGUCAAAUUCCUCCCACUACCCCAGCCCCCGGACAUGGCUAGAAAGUUCUAACAUUUCUUCUUUUGCCAUGUAAGGACUACUAUAAACUACUUCAUCUUCUCACUCUCACUUCAUACAAAGACAUCUUAAUAUGCAAACAUGAGAAGAGCGUAGGGUCAGAGUAAAGGAGAAUCCUUUAAACCAAAUAAUUGAGUUGUACUGAUUAAUUUGUCUAUAUUUUUCUCAUUUUGUUACAGGUUCUGUGCACUGGUUUAUGGAGAUGGAUGAAGGAACCUUAUUUUUUUUUAAUCUGAAGGGCUGACAUUCCCCAAGUCUAAAAAUCACAUAAGUGUCCAGUGUUUUCCAGAACUCUCCCAGGCAGCCACAAACUCUCAGGACUUUUAACACAUCAGAGACACACUGGCCUCCAGAGACCCAAGAUUUGUGCCUCUUUAGCUACUCGCACUGGGAAGCCCCUCUUAAGAUUAACCCAAGUCCCUCAUACUGCAUUUUAAACUCCAGCUGCUCCCCAUCAAAUAUUUAAGGGCCUACUAUGUACACACGUGGUGCCUGGCCCUUUGGAGCCCGCUGUUCAGCAGGGACAGGUGAGCAGUUAUCACAGAGGGCAAAAAGGGCCAGGGCAAAGGCCAGGAUGUGUUUAAGCCCAUUAAGGUGGCCAGCUGCUUUCUGAACAGGGACGAGUCAAAGUCUCUUCCCCUGGGAGCCUAAGUUGAGACCUGAAGGCUAAGUGAGAGUCGUUGGGGGUAAGGUGGGAGUCAGGUGCAGUGAUGGGAGAGGCUGUAGAGGACUCCGGGGCUGGGAGAUCAGCACAGGCAGACUUGGAAGCGGUGAAUGUUCUUCGGUGUGGCUGGGCCCUCCACGGCUAGGUCGGGAUGGGGAGAGCCCUGUCAGCCGGCAGAAGGGGGAUAGACUCGGAGAAGGCAGGGGAAAACCUGGAAGGGCUUGGCUGCGGGCACGAGGCAGGUCGGGUGCUGCGGAUUAGAAAGUUGGUUGAGAAGGACUCACACCCUCUUUCGCCCUGCCCUUGGCCACACAUUCAGUGAUGUUUAUCGGAACCCAGCAGCCACCCUGCCCUUUCCUCAGCAGUCCAAUCUCCCAGCUUUCCGCCGACUUUAAAUCACAUUCGCUCCAAACAAUAGGCCCAAGAACAAAACUCCUGUGACUGCCGCUCUCCGUCAAAAAGCGGUCACUGUGAGAACGUGUUUUCCGUGGAUUUUGCCAGAGUUUAGCGGCGCUUGUCAGUGAAAAGCAAGUCUGAGAGAUUGGGGAGACCAUGGGGGCCACUCCAGCGUCUCAGUUACUCUUCUGGCCGAGUGAAGACCCAGGAGACCUGCCCCACCAGCGCGGUGUAGAAAACUCACUUUUUCUUCACACACUUGACAAGCAGGGAGUACUUUGUAUGCUCAGAAAGUCCAUCUGCAGUCAUCAUCUGGAUUUUCGUUUCUAUUUGUUCCAGUCCAUGGAUUUUUUUUUUUUUUUUUUUUUUUUUUUACCCCCCGAUCAACUUUCCCAGAAGGCAGUGCUUUGCUCUGGGGAAUGGUUAGGUCAAAGUCGGAUAGCAGAGGAUUUGAAAAGUAGCCUCUCCACGUGCCCCUCCUGGCUGUGCCCUAGAUGAUGGUCCCUCAGCAGCACUUCCUAGAAACCACUGAGACUGAAGUUAAACUACACCAUCCUCAGCUGCAGUGACCCGGAACUGGCCCUUUGUGCAAGGUCAUCCAUGAGACACCAAUGCCUCCGUGCCCUCAAUAGGUCAUUCACUCCCACUAAAUGCUUUUACAGUGGAAAUUCCCAGGUUAAGUUUCACAGGUAAAGGUGAAUAUUUUGUGUGUGUCACCCAUGGUAUGGUUGUUCAAAAUCACAGGGCCAGCAGGACUGGAAUUUUUUCAUCUUACAUAUUUUCCCACCUUUGAAGUAUUAGUGAUAGCUCCCUCGUUUUGAGACUCCAGGUUUAAAAAAUUUUUAUUCUGUGUGCCAUGAAUUCCACUCCUUUGAGCAUCUGGGCUUAAUGAAUCCUUAGCAUUUUUCUUUGGGGGCUUUGUUGGAAAUGAAGGAUACUCUCCACUACUUCUCUGGUUGGAAGAUAUGUGUUUUAUUCCCUUCUAAGUUAUCAGGCUAAAUCCUGUGACCUUUCUCCCUUGAAAAGCAGGCAGUGUUUCCAAAAUUUCUAACAUAAUUCCUCGGGAAUGUGGAAUGGGUUUCCUUGUGGACAGUGUUGUUUAUAGGGUCUCUGUCUCCAUUCAUAGAAACCUGCAUGUCAGAGAGACAGCGUAUAUAUGAAAACAUAGUAUAAAGGUGCUAGAGAACCGAAAUGCUCUCGGUAGCAGCCCCCCAAACCUGACGGCUAAAAACAGCUCCCCUCGGCUGCAGCCCCAGCAGCAGCAAGUAAGGAUGCACUCAGUCACAAACCGACUUACUAGGGUCCUGUCUGGAGUCCAGAAGACAAGAGGAGACCUCUAAAAUUUGAUAUAAAGUGAUGAGUGUCUUGAGAGGUCCACUAAAGUGCCAUGGCAGUCCUUUCUGCUGGGACAAUCAGAGAAGGCUUCCUGGAGGUGUUAUGGAACCAGGCUGGAACGAUGGCGGAAGAAGCAAGCGGCACUCGGAGAUCUUGGUGGAUUGGAGAUUUAUUUUACACCGGCGGGCUCAGAGGAGACUGUUUCUCCAAAGGUCUGAGCCCGGAAUGCAAGUCGGGAGGGUAAUUUAUAGCCGACAACGUCCAUAUCUGUGGGGGGUUUUGCCCACACAGCAAACAAAGGAAGAAGAACCCAGAGGAGGGGUCUCUAAGCUGGAGACCAGAGUUUGUUUUAGCCCCGUCGGCCAUCUUUGGCGUACUUGACUUCUCCAACAGAGGAAGUGGCAUUUGCUCUGUUUCUUGAGUGAAGAAGGUGCCCUUUUAAAAAGCAGGAUCCCAGUCACUAACACAGGAAUGAACAUUUUUAUGGCCCUGUACCUUAAUUAGGGGAGAGCAUCGAAGUCAUUUUAAAUGGACUUAAUCUCAUCCUAAGCCUGGCCAACAUUCCAUUCCUAAGGGUUUACAUCAAGGAAGUCAUCCAAAAGGGGGAAAAAGUUUUUCCCAUGCUGGUUUGAGAACAUGGAAAAAUGAGUUGAUUUUGGAGAUCAAUGACACUUUGGUGAUUUUCUUCUGCUAAUGAAUGGUAAUGUGUUGGAGAGGACAAUCCAAGCAGUGAUCAGGGUAGAGAAGACAUUACACAUAAGUAAAAGCCUCUCGCUUUGCCUGUGUCUUUCUUUUUUUCCCAUUAGGCCCUGAACACAUCUCCGUCACCACUCUUAAUGUUCUGGGGGUAAUAACUAUCUAGUAUUAUAAUAGAUGGUGCGGGGGAGGGGCUGGCGCAUAGUAGGCACUUGAUGAAUAUUGUGACAUCCCUUCCAGUGCAAGGCUCUCUGGUUACAGUUUACCAACCCCAGGGUAACUGAUGUACGUACUGAAACAGCAAAAGGAGCUAAGGAAGCAAAAUAAAGCAGCACUUUCAACUAUUUCUAUUUUACAAAGUGCUUGGUGAAACUGUAAAAGGAUAUUUAGUACCACAAAAAGUAGGCCAAGGGUAAGAAAAACUCUCCAUACCCAAGAGGAUUCAGCUGACCAAAUUAAGUCUGAUCCAGAAUAAACAGUUCUCAUCUGGAAAUCUAGCAGUUCCAGAAAGUACUGUCCAAGUGGAAAAAGGCCCACGAUGCUGGUCUGCAUAAUUAUGUAACCCUUUAGGAAAGGGGAAGGAAGUGCCACCAUCCUGGGGUACAUGGGGAAAAGCAACCGUGAGAAAAUAAUAGUACUCAGGCCUCAAAGAAGGGGAUUGUGUUAUUAGAGAAACCAGGCCCAUAAGCCCUUUCUCAUGAACUUGACCAACUUUGGUCAUUUUUCCCUGUGCCUACCCAGUGUCCAAAACCUAAAACAAGGUUCCUAUUAUCCAAUCCGUCCAACAGAAAUAACUGUCAAAUAGGCACGUGAAUAGCACUGCAUGUGAAGGAACUCGUUUGAAAUGAGACACGAGCUCAGCUGCAACGGUCAAGACCAGUCACGUCUGUGCUUUCUCUGGAAAAGCAUGAUCAUCGCCCCUUUGAAGAUCACUUAAAAACAUCAAACAAACUAGAUCCCAGAUGAUGUUAUACCAACCUUUCAUUCCUGGGAUAAAAUCUCCUUGGCCAAAUUCUUUUUAUAUGUUG
Molecule: long non-coding RNA, 5758 nt
Organism: Leopardus geoffroyi (Geoffroy's cat)
Lineage: Eukaryota; Metazoa; Chordata; Mammalia; Carnivora; Felidae
Exons: 4
Source: RefSeq, a predicted model, not a curated record